This is a long non-coding RNA of Nycticebus coucang (slow loris), 804 nucleotides long. RefSeq lists it as uncharacterized. The transcript is spliced from 3 exons. The record is from RefSeq and is a predicted model, not a curated record. NCBI's taxonomy places the organism in Eukaryota, Metazoa, Chordata, Mammalia, Primates, Lorisidae.
ACCCAAUGCCCGUUGCAUACUAUUUUUUCACUUUCUUCAGGUUGGUCCUGUAGGACGGGUGCUCCCACCCACUGGCCCUGACCUGUGCUCGCGCCUGAGCUUCCUCGGGGCGCGGGAGGAGCGAGACACCGCCCCCUCGCGGCAGGAAGGCGCACGCGCAGCGCAUGCUAAUGAGCCCGCGGCGCCACUCGCUGAUUGGCUGGCGCAUGUUCCAGCGGCUCCCGGAGCCUGCGGGCGCCCAGCGAGCGUCGUCUGGCCGCAGGCUGCAGCCCGAGCCCUUCCCUGCCCGCCCCACCGCCUGCCUGCCGACGCUGCGGCCGGCAAGGCGCGCUGGCCUUGGACGUGGGGGCACUUGCUCUCCCCUCCCAUUAGUGCCCUGAUCGUGAAUUCAUCCGGGGUCUAGGAUGACAAUUGGACACCGAGGCCAGCAGUACAGGCCGAGGAUGGCAUUUCUGCAGAAGGUUUCCAAGCCACCUCCUGGUCCCCAAGGCUCUGCACUGCGUGGGCACAGCAAAGAGGGCGAAGAGCCUGUCUCCAGGUGCAGAGGGGCACCGACUGCAGUUCAGCCGGGUCCGCCCCAGCUCUGAGUCAUGGAAGGUAAGAAGACUGAGGCUAAUAAGGACCAACACUGGAAGAAUUGUUGGUAGAAACAGUAAAGUCGCUCUCAUGACAGUAGUAGAAACACACAAUGACGACUGCAGUGAGGAGCUUCUGAGUCUAUGUGAGGAGCUCUGCUUUGAACCCCAGAGCUCAAAGAACACUGAGGCCUGGAAGAACCAGCCGGCAGGAGCAAAGAGCACAGAA